GGUUUUCAUUUCAGUAAAUUUCUUUUUACUAAAAACCCUAAUUCCCAAAUCUCCUCAAAUCGAUCUUCAUCAAUCUCUUCAAUGGUGUGGGUAAUCGUUCAAUAUCUUCGAUAAAACUUAAAAACUAGAACCUUAUCCAUUCUUUGCCUUUAAUUUUGCUUCGGUCAUCUGUCGUUAGUCAUCGGUGGGGAAGAUAUCGAUAUCGAUAUCGAUCGGAGUGGGCUUGAAGACAAAUAACAGAAGAAAUUUUAUUAAGAGGUAUUAGCAUUUCUACUAUUUGUUAUCUCUUUUUCAUGCGUUUGUAAAUGGAUUUUUUGUUAUUUAAGUUGGAAAAGUUUUACUCUGUUACUGUACUCGGCUAAAGGGAAAAAUGUUUUGGCUUUUUCGUCUGUUAAAGGAUAGGGAAUCUUGACCUUUAUUUCUUGUCUUUUUCAGAGUUUGUUCAAAUUUGUGGCUCUAUUAUUGUUGUUUUUCACUACGGGGUAGGGUUACUGAAGGACAAUAUGUUGGGGAGUUGGAAAGGGUUGUCUUUACUAUAGAUAAAGACCAUUUCUCUCUGACCGAGAUGAAAUGUUACACUAAGG
This 584-nucleotide long non-coding RNA is filed under the name Nicotiana tabacum (common tobacco). Its description in RNAcentral is "long non-coding RNA (NTAB_LNC017013)". The record is from RNAcentral. Lineage: Eukaryota; Viridiplantae; Streptophyta; Magnoliopsida; Solanales; Solanaceae.